CAUGAUUUAAAAUCAUUUUGCUCUAAAUUAAAUAUGCAUGAUUUGAUAAAAAUGUUUUUACUAGAGAAGCCAAGUCUUGAGUUAAAUUGUCGGAUCAAGAUCACUAUUAAAGGGCGACUCAUGUAUAACUUUGUUUAAUCUUGAUCUUUGUUCAUCUUGUACUUGAACUUCGUUACGUGACAUUUGCGCGCUUGUGUUUGGACCUCGUCAUAUGUCAAUUGCGUAUCGUUUGUCAUUUAUCAAAACCUACAAUUAUGAACACACGUUUAGUUUAGUGCCUUGAGAACGUGUUUCAACAAAUGGAACAGCCUUGUGAUCAGACAAGAUGUCACCAUUACAAGAAAUAGACACAGAAGGCAAUGCAAUAACUUUGCUAUCAUUACAAGAAGCAGAUACAGGACAAACAGAAGUAGAGGGACAACUAACAGAGGAAGAAGGGGAAGGAGGAACCCAAGCCAGUUUAUAUAAGCCAGCAGCUUCUCUACCAAGAUCCAGAGGCCUCCUCAGAGAAGGGNNN
Molecule: long non-coding RNA, 517 nt
Filed under: Nicotiana benthamiana
Lineage: Eukaryota; Viridiplantae; Streptophyta; Magnoliopsida; Solanales; Solanaceae
Description: long non-coding RNA (NBEN_LNC005771)
Source: RNAcentral